RNAcentral lists this ribosomal RNA (528 nucleotides) under Hyaloscypha bicolor. RNAcentral's name for it is "eukaryotic LSU rRNA". The stretch from base 211 to 364 matches the Rfam family "5.8S ribosomal RNA". The record is from RNAcentral. Lineage: Eukaryota; Fungi; Ascomycota; Leotiomycetes; Helotiales; Hyaloscyphaceae.
AAGUCGUAACAAGGUUUCCGUAGGUGAACCUGCGGAAGGAUCAUUAAAGAAUCGCCCCGUUUUUUGAAAUGGGUUCUAUUCCCAAACCGUGUAUACAUACCUUUGUUGCUUUGGCAAGCCGCCGCUUAGGCGUUGGCUCCGGCUGACUGCGCCUGCCAGAGGACCCAAACUCGUUUGUUUAGUGAUGUCUGAGUACUAUAUAAUAGUUAAAACUUUCAACAACGGAUCUCUUGGUUCUGGCAUCGAUGAAGAACGCAGCGAAAUGCGAUAAGUAAUGUGAAUUGCAGAAUUCAGUGAAUCAUCGAAUCUUUGAACGCACAUUGCGCCCCUUGGUAUUCCGAGGGGCAUGCCUGUUCGAGCGUCAUUAUAACCACUCAAGCCUCGGCUUGGUCUUGGGGUUCGCGGUCUCGCGGCUCUUAAAAUCAGUGGCGGUGCCGUCUGGUUCUAAGCGUAGUAAUUCUCUCGCUAUAGGGUCCGGACGGUUCCCUGCCAGAACCCCUUAAUUUUUUACGGUUGACCUCGGAUCAG